RNAcentral lists this ribosomal RNA (424 nucleotides) under uncultured bacterium. RNAcentral's name for it is "partial 16S ribosomal RNA". It matches the Rfam family "Bacterial small subunit ribosomal RNA", at positions 354 to 795 of the family's 1533-position model. The record is from RNAcentral.
GUGGGGAAUCUUGCGCAAUGGGCGAAAGCCUGACGCAGCCAUGCCGCGUGAAUGAUGAAGGUCUUAGGAUUGUAAAAUUCUUUCACCGGGGACGAUAAUGACGGUACCCGGAGAAGAAGCUCCGGCUAACUUCGUGCCAGCAGCCGCGGUAAUACGAAGGGGGCUAGCGUUGCUCGGAAUUACUGGGCGUAAAGGGCGCGUAGGCGGACAGCUUAGUCAGAGGUGAAAGCCCAGGGCUCAACCUUGGAAUUGCCUUUGAUACUGGCUGUCUUGAGUUUGGGAGAGGUGAGUGGAACUCCGAGUGUAGAGGUGAAAUUCGUAGAUAUUCGGAAGAACACCAGUGGCGAAGGCGACUCACUGGCCCAAUACUGACGCUGAGGCGCGAAAGCGUGGGGAGCAAACAGGAUUAGAAACCCGGGUAUCC